RNAcentral lists this ribosomal RNA (1317 nucleotides) under metagenome. RNAcentral describes it as "bacterial LSU rRNA". It matches the Rfam family "Bacterial large subunit ribosomal RNA", at positions 1617 to 2925 of the family's 2925-position model. The record is from RNAcentral.
UCCUCUAAACGAUUGCUUCUGGUGCCCGUACCGCAAACCGACACAGGUAGAUGAGGAGAGAAUCCUAAGGUGACUGAGAGAACCCUCGAGAAGGAAUUCGGCAUAAUGGCUCCGUAACUUCGGAAGAGGGAGCACCUCAAAGUAUGUGAUCAGACUUGCUCUGUGAGCAGAAUGGGGUCGCAGAGAGUCGGCCUGGGCGACUGUUUACUAAAAACACAGGUCUCUGCUAAAUCGCAAGAUGAUGUAUAGGGACUGACACCUGCCCGGUGCUGGAAGGUUAAAAGGAGGGGUUAGCCGCAAGGCGAAGCUCUGAAUUGGAGCCCCAGUAAACGGCGGCCGUAACUAUAACGGUCCUAAGGUAGCGAAAUUCCUCGUCGGGUAAAUUCCGACCUGCACGAAUGGUGUAACGAUUUGGGCGCUGUCUCCUCGGGGCUCUCAGCGAAAUUGUAGUUCCGGUGAAGAUGCCGGAUACCCACAGUAGGACGGAAAGACCCCGUGAACCUUUACUAUAGCCUGGCAUUGGGUUUUGGCAUGUCAUGUAGAGCAUAGGUGGGAGACUAUGAAGCGGGGGCGUCAGCCCUCGUGGAGUCACCAUUGGAAUACCACCCUUGGUAUGUCGAAAUUCCAACCAUGUACCUUGAAACAGGUACUGGGACAUUGUCUGGUGGGUAGUUUGACUGGGGCGGUCGCCUCCCAAAACGUAACGGAGGCGCCCAAAGGUUCCCUCAGUGCGGUCGGUAAUCGCACGAAGAGUGUAAAGGCAGAAGGGAGCUUGACUGCGAGACCUACAAGUCGAGCAGGUGGGAAACCAGGGCUUAAUGAUCUGACAGUAGCGCGUGGAAGCGCUGAAACUCAACGGAUAAAAGGUACUCCGGGGAUAACAGGCUUAUCUCCCCCAAGCGCCCACAGCGACGGGGAGGUUUGGCACCUCGAUGUCGGCCCAUCGCAUCCUGGGGCUGGAGAAGGUCCCAAGGGUUUGGCUGUUCGCCAAUUAAAGCGGUACGCGAGCUGGGUUUAGAACGUCGUGAGACAGUUCGGUCCCUAUCCACUGUGGGCGUUAGGAAAUUUGAGGAGUGCUGUCCCUAGUAUGAGAAGACCGGGAUGGACGAACCUCUGGUGUGCCAGUUGUUCUGCCAAGGGCAGUGCUGGGUAGCUAUGUUCGGAUGGGAUAACCGCUGAAAGUAUCUAAGUGGGAAGCCCACUCCAAGAUGAGAUUUCCCUAUCAGGACCCAUGGAGACUACGUGGUUGAUAGGCCGCAGGUGUACGUGCAGCAAUGCGUUCAGCCGAGCGGUACUAAUAGUCCGACCGACUUAAUC